Neodiprion fabricii is the source of this 421-nucleotide long non-coding RNA. RefSeq lists it as uncharacterized. Lineage: Eukaryota; Metazoa; Arthropoda; Insecta; Hymenoptera; Diprionidae. The transcript has 3 exons. The record is from RefSeq and is a predicted model, not a curated record.
GCGCGCAGGCGUCAAAUUGUCGAGCGAAUUAUCGAUCCAAGCCACGUGCGGCAGGAGCCGGCACAACCACUCUUGCGUCAACCCCCGUAUAUAGUACAUAGUUUUGUAGUUUGACUCUUGUGUCAACUUUCGCACGUAGUAUUUCGUUAUAAUAAUUUGGCUUCUAUGUCAGCUUCAGUGGGUAGCGUUCGCGUGAUUUGACUCUUGUGUCAACCCCGUGCCUAUUACACGAUUUUGUAAUUCGACUUUUGUGUCGACGUUUGUACGUGACAAUUACAUAGUUUGACUCUUGUGUCAACCUUAUUUGUACAUUAUAUUUUGUGACUCGACUAUUGUGUUAAUUCCGUACAGUUUGACUCUUGUGGCAACUAGUGCGUAGUAUUUUCUUGUAAUUUGACUGUGGAAUCAAUACCAUUGUAAU